AUUGAACGCUGGCGGCAGGCCUAACACAUGCAAGUCGAACGCGAAAGUCCUUCGGGAUGAGUAGAGUGGCGGACGGGUGAGUAACGCGUGGGAAUCUGCCCUGUAGUGGGGGAGUAACGUUCCGAAAGGGACGCUAAUACCGCAUACGCCCCAAGGGGGAAAGCGGGGGAGUCUUCGGACCUCGUGCUACAGGAUGAGCUUGCGUCGGAUUAGCUAGUUGGUGGGGUAAAGGCCUACCAAGGCGACGAUCCGUAGCUGGUCUGAGAGGAUGAUCAGCCACACCGGGACUGAGACACGGCCCGGACUCCUACGGGAGGCAGCAGUGGGGAAUAUUGCGCAAUGGGGGCGAACCCUGACGCAGCCAUGCCGCGUGUGUGAAGAAGGCCUCGGUUGUAAGACACUUUCAGUGGGGAGGGAAAGGGACGGCU
RNAcentral lists this ribosomal RNA (428 nucleotides) under uncultured bacterium. RNAcentral's name for it is "bacterial SSU rRNA". It matches the Rfam family "Bacterial small subunit ribosomal RNA", at positions 29 to 460 of the family's 1533-position model. The record is from RNAcentral.